RNAcentral lists this transfer RNA (74 nucleotides) under Bos taurus (domestic cattle). It matches the Rfam family "tRNA". From Rfam's summary of the family: Transfer RNA (tRNA) molecules are approximately 80 nucleotides in length. Their secondary structure includes four short double-helical elements and three loops (D, anti-codon, and T loops). The record is from Rfam by way of RNAcentral. Lineage: Eukaryota; Metazoa; Chordata; Mammalia; Artiodactyla; Bovidae. RNAcentral also lists the same sequence under 1 other name.
UCCCUGGUGGUCCAGUGGUUAGGAACUGGAGCUUUCAGUGCUUGAGGGACCAGGUUCAAUUCUUGGUUGGGGAA